RNAcentral lists this transfer RNA (53 nucleotides) under Abavorana luctuosa (mahogany frog). Its description in RNAcentral is "partial tRNA-Glx". The record is from RNAcentral. Lineage: Eukaryota; Metazoa; Chordata; Amphibia; Anura; Ranidae.
CUAAAGAGGUAGGAAUUGAACCUACACCCAAGAGAUCAAAACCCUUGGUACUU